UCCAACAGGCUAAUUAAAACUAAGCUUUGAGAUAUCCGAUGAUUAGUUUUGACGCAGUAUUUUCUGCUCAGUACUCUGGUUAUCAAUGUGAAAAAAUUCAGUGAAGCGCUGAUAAACGGUGGAAGGAACUGAGUAUCUUAAGUUAGCCAAGUGCCUCAUCAUCUAAUUAGUGACGUCCAUGGAUAAAUUAAAGAGA
This 196-nucleotide non-coding RNA is filed under the name Clonorchis sinensis. Its description in RNAcentral is "Eukaryotic large subunit ribosomal RNA". It matches the Rfam family "Eukaryotic large subunit ribosomal RNA", at positions 2133 to 2332 of the family's 3401-position model. The record is from Rfam by way of RNAcentral. Lineage: Eukaryota; Metazoa; Platyhelminthes; Trematoda; Opisthorchiida; Opisthorchiidae.